ACGUACACUCCUGCGGGAGGCAGCAGUGGGGAAUUUUGGACAAUGGGCGAAAGCCUGAUCCAGCCAUGCCGCGUGCAGGAUGAAGGCCUUCGGGUUGUAAACUGCUUUUGUACGGAACGAAACGGCCUUUUCUAAUAAAGAGGGCUAAUGACGGUACCGUAAGAAUAAGCACCGGCUAACUACGUGCCAGGAGCCGCGGUAAUACGGAGGGUGCAAGCGUUAAUCGGAAUUACUGGGCGUAAAGCGUGCGCAGGCGGUUAUGUAAGGCAGUUGUGAAAUCCCCGGGCUCAACCUGGGAACUGCAUCUGUGACUGCAUAGCUAGAGUACGGUAGAGGGGGAUGGAAUUCCGCGUGUAGCAGUGAAAUGCGUAGAUAUGCGGAGGAACACCGAUGGCGAAGGCAAUCCCCUGGACCUGUACUGACGCUCAUGCACGAAAGCGUGGGGAGCAAACAGGAUUAGAAACCCGAGUAGUCCCAUG
RNAcentral lists this ribosomal RNA (479 nucleotides) under uncultured organism. RNAcentral describes it as "partial 16S ribosomal RNA". It matches the Rfam family "Bacterial small subunit ribosomal RNA", at positions 329 to 799 of the family's 1533-position model. The record is from RNAcentral.